Perca fluviatilis (European perch) is the source of this 4964-nucleotide long non-coding RNA. RefSeq lists it as uncharacterized. The record is from RefSeq and is a predicted model, not a curated record. NCBI's taxonomy places the organism in Eukaryota, Metazoa, Chordata, Actinopteri, Perciformes, Percidae. The transcript has 2 exons.
AGGGUGAGACGGAAACAGGGAGAGCAGCAAUUCUGUGAAUGGGGAGACAGAAACACAACACCAUAAACAGCCCAGAGAGCAAGACAGUGAGACUGAGAAAGAGGGGCGGAGGACUUAGGGGUGCACACACUGGAGAUGGGAAGCCAGCCUUAUUCCGCUUUGCAUUUCAUUUACAUCCCUGGCCGUAUCGACCAAUCGGAUUGGGAGCAAAGCCCAGGGCUUAGGAGGGGAAUAAAAAGACAAAAUGCCUUUGCUGCUCUCAUCCCUCCCUGAUAAUACCCCUUCUGUUUUUCUUUUCUCUUUUUCUCCCGUCUAUAAGUAGAUACUGUCCGAAAUGCCAGCGGAAAAGCGACACCUCCGCUUGCUGUAUAUCUCAGAUAGACCGAGCGGGAGCAGGGGCUGAAAAGACAGCUUUAGCAACUGGGCCUAUCUCCUCUCCUCUCCCUGGCUGGAUGGAAGCUUGGAGUGGAGGGAGGCGGAGGGCCGGGGUGUGUUGGUUAGUGUUUGGGAAGAGAAUAGAGGGUGUGAGAGGCAUGAUAUACUGAGCUGGCCACAGAUUUUGCAGAAUCUUGCACUCUAAAAAACUUUGCCUGCAGAUCCCUUUCCUAAGCAUGAGAAACCUGUUUCAAGGAUGUUUACGAGGUGCCACCCAUCUUUGUGAAGGUUGCCAAUGCUUGCUACCAAACUCCACACAUAUUUUUAGCUUUGGAUAGUGGUUAUUGUAGUGGACUAAGUUGCAGGUUUAUCCGAAAUGGAAACUCUUGUCAGUUAACUGCAAUGCUUUAGAUAACAGUGGAUUUUUAACACAGUGGAACCUUAAGAUAAACAUAUCUUAACAUACUUAACAAUAACAAGCUAUUGUUAUUUUGGCUACAUUAAAUAUUUUCCUAUAUAACUCAGCAAUGUGUAUUGGGUAGAAUUAGGCCCAUUAACACCAGUCUGUGUUGACACGAUGUCAUGAUUGACUUGUCUCAGGUUUUUGUUUGUUAUCACUCUUGAUGUGUGUGUUUCUCAGUGUGUGGUAGCCACUGUUUGUAUGUCAGGUACAGUAUGUUUGCAGGUUUACUGAAUUUAUUUGUACAGGUGUUUGUUGUGCUCUCCCCAUUGUGAUUCCUGUUUGUAUUUGGGUUGCUAUGCGUCUAUUGUGCCAAAAUGGACAAAGUGUUUAUACUCUUUCUAAGUGUCUUUUCUGUAUGUAAAGGACUAUGUUAUUGUCUUGGUGCUCACGUCUUUGUGUAGGCGCACCCAGACUAUUGUACUGCCACUGACUGGACGCAGUGCUGGCAUCACUGCUGAUAUAGAGCUUAUUGAAAGUGAUUGUUGUUGCACAGAUGAGAGUUUAUCUCAGUAUGGGUUUGCGGCAAAGCAUUCAGACAUAGAGAGGGUCCUUUACCUGCCUCCACCAGACGCAUGUGAAAGAUAAGGUCACCUUAGGACCCUGUGUGGACCCCCUCCACCGUCACAGCGUCCUCAUACUCCUCAGCCUGCACAACCUCACCCCUCUAGUAAAACAAACCAAACAAUAGAAGCAGAUAUGUGAGGGAUUAGAGGUCAGAGGGUUGGGGAAUGCAACAUCUCCAUUUCCAGGAUCAAUCUUCAACCGCUUGGUAAUCUAUGGCCCCAGGCCCCACAUACCUCCAGUGGUCUCUCUGGCUGAGAGCUGGCAUUGCCAGGCGGUGUGAGCUGGUACUUCUGCUGGGUGUGGGGGGCUGAUAGGAUAGUGGGGAGUGGGGUUAUAACCUGACAGUGUGCAUGGAUGGAAGAGCACAGGGAUGAGUAACAAAGGGUCCCUACUUUAUUUUCAAACCUCACCUAAAUCCUCACAGAUAGGUGUGUGUGUUUGUUUGUGUGUGUUUGCCAAUGUACGACACAGACACAAUCUUAAAGUGUGUCUGUGUACUUUGUGUGCACAUGUUCGGAAAGAGUGUUUUAAUUUGUAAAUGUAAAAUAACUGAGUUCUUUAGCACAAACUGAAUAUUAUCCCCAAGUUCCCGUUAUCUUGUGUACACACAUUUGUUUAUUUGAUACAGCCUCUCUCCUCUACAGCACUUCUGUAUAUCAAAGACAGCAGUGCAGAGCGCAAUUGAAAAUGGCUACCGUGGAGAAAGGUCUCUCUCUGCUUUUGACUGCGAAGAGGCAGAAAAAGCCCUAUUCUCCGCUCCCUUCUUAGAUCUAUUUAAAUAAUUGAGGAGUAAACUGACAAAUUAGGCACCUUUAUGGACGCCCCUGGGCUCUCUCUGGGGUCCUUUAGUUUCCCCAAUACAAGAGAGUGCCACCAGCCACAGGAUAAUAUCUCUGUGUGCUUUGAGAGGGAGGAGGGAAGGAGGGUAGUGGGCCAGGAGGGGUUUCGCCAAUCAAGCGGGCCACACUUCCUCCCCCAGGUUCUAAUUUUUUGCCACAUUAAAGAGCUCGGCCUCCAUUUAGGACACAGAGAGGCAUUUUCAUAAUUUGCCGGGUCUCUCGACUAGCUCGGGGUGCCUUUUUUCCUCUCUCUCCUCCCUCUCUCUCACUCCGUGUCUGAAUGGAAGGCCUGGGGAGGAAGAGGGGUAAUUCAUUCGCCUCCUUUCAGCCAACCGGCUUCAGUUCUGCAUAAUGUUGCUGCUAGGUGUGUAAAGCAGCUAAUAUUUAUCUCUUUAAUAAUUCUCUAUUAGACCUGAAUAUUAUUUGCUGUGUAAAAGCUAACACUGCUUAUUGUCAGCUAUACAAAAAUGGUGUCAUUCAGGUUUUGUUGAUACAUUAAAGCUAAAUCAUAUGCCUGUAUAGUUAGGAGUUAAAGACUAUAGUGUGUCUAAUCUAUGACCAUGCAGCCAGCUAUGAUGCUUACAUCGAUAACAUCUGUGAUGUAGUAUACAUACAGUGCAUAAUCUAGGCUAAGGUUGUCUCAUUUGCUCUUUCUGACACCAUCCAUUCAUGCACUACAGUAUGCGUAAGCAUUGAUUCAUAUGUGAUUGGUCACAUAAUUCACAGUCUCAGGGGGCAUUUCAUCGCUGAGAGACAAGCUAAUCUAAAAUCCCCCAAUUUACAAAUGAAAAUCCCACCAUCCAAUUGAGCUAAUAGAGGGACUUGAAUGGGAUAAUAAGAUGUGGUGUAAUACUGUGUAAAAAGCCUGUAAUGUUGUGUUGGUGUAAGAGCCCGUGUGACUGGAUGUUUGACUGUUUGCAGUGAUUACAGGGGCCUGCGGGCCUGGCGGCAGCUCCGUGGCUGGGACAGGGAGCUUCUCCCUGGGUAAGGAGAUACGCCUGUCUGCCCCUUCUGCUGGAGCUACAGGGACCAGGAUGUCAGGAGGGAGAGUGCUCCCUGUGAGCGCUCUCUCUCUCUUUUUCACUCUGUCUCUUUCUGUCUGUCUCUCUCUCCCUCUCGUUCCCGGUCUCGCUGUGUCUGUACUAUUGCAGUGCUUGCAGAUGUGCACAAACAAGGGAGGAUUAAAGCAAAACGAAUCUAAACAGACAAAUGGAAUUAGAGUGAUGGGUGUCGGUGGGCUGGUUCACAGUGAUAAACAUAAUGAUGCUCUGUAUGUGUGUGAGUGUGUUCCUGUGUCUGGGGGAUUAUCAGUGGUUAGGUGUGUGGUGUGUAUGGCUGGGUGACUGCUUCUGGGUGUCUUUGUGUGUUUGCCUAUCUGUCUAUGUUUUUGUAAUUAUGUGUGUGUAUAUUUACUCGGUCUCUACUUGUGUGUGUGAUAAACGUGUUAUUCUACAUUGCCUCACAAAAACACCCUAUGCAUGUGUGUGGAUAUGUUUCUCUGUUUUCCCUGUGAUCCGGGUCAUAUUUCCUUCUUGUCUUUCACAGUGUCUGUUUGUGUUUGUGUACAGGAGCUGCUACCUAAGCUUGUAUGUCUCUACGGGACAUCAAAACUCUUCACCCAAUAUUUACACACACACACACUAAAUAUAAAAAUAUAAAUAAUAUGUCUAGAAAGAUGAUAGAAUGUUUGUGGAAUAUGAAGGUCUAAUUUUGACAUAGUGCCCUGCAGUUCAUGUGCUGAUGUUGUAUGUAGGCUUGUUUUCUUGCGACAGGAGUCUGUGUGUUUAUGCACUGAGGAGGUCAGGAGUGUGGCAGAGCCAGCAGGGGGGCAGUGAUCAACAGACUGGGGCUCCCCUGCCGAGGGGCUCUGGGAUUAGGGCUAAACCCUGCCCUGCCAGAUGGGCACAACACAUCCCCAUCGCACACCAGCACCUUCUGUGGAAACCAGGCAAAUGGAACCAUUGUGAUAAUAACUGGUACACUUCUCAACUGACUCAGAGGACCAUACAGAAUGGCGGCAGGAGAGACGACUGAAAUGAGGUACUCUUCAAAGUAUCAGCUAGUGGACAGUAUGGCCAGUCAGCAGGUUCAAGGGUAUCGGAAAUGAAACUUACAGGUUGUUUUGAUGUGCUGUAUUCCAGAGCCACAGGCAACACUGAAAUUAUUGUGUGUGUGUGUGUGUGUGUGUGUGUGUGUGUGAGAGUGAGAGAGUGAGAGAGAGUAGAUUGGUGGCUCAGGAAUCGGCAGUGUGUUGAUUGCUUCCUGCUUGACUUUUAUCGCACACAACUGGCACUAAAUAGUUUCCAAUUCAGUUCAUGAAUCACUAGACUGGUGUUAUAGUCACUACUGUAACUGUUAUACUGUUUCAGGUUAGCUUUAAUAAUUGUUAUAAAUGAUGUAAUAACUGAACAACAGUCUAAAAGCCCUGAUAGCAUCCCAUAGAGGCUGUGCUGCUUCUAAAAUAAGUGGUUUAGACUAGCCGUUCAACAUUUCCAUGCUUAGAGUUCAACACUCUUGCUAGCAGGCCUAUUUGACAAAAAUGUCUACAUGUUAAAAUUUAGGAGUAUACAGCGUCAACCUGCUGUACGUCUUUGUGAUACCACCCCACCUGGAUCUGUUAUCCAGGGCGUCCCCAGCAUGACUUAGGAAAUUGUGUCUGUAUUAGUAGAAAGCAGAUUACAUGAGUAAAGUGUACAAACAAAUAAAAGAUUACAGGCUGUGAA